UGUUAUUGUCAGAGGUAAUCAACAACAGCUGUGGGUGAGCACUUCUGGUUACAGGCUCUGAUGAUGUACACACUAUGAUCCUCCAUUAGUUUUCUCCUCCUUUAACCUGCUUCUAUAGGUAUGACAUAUGUGUGUGUUAUAUAUUUAGCUGUAGUUGUAUUUUUUGUGCAGGUGCAUUUAAUUGAUGAUGCUCCUAUUUUCUUUCACACCUCUCCCCCACAAGGGACACACAAUCAUUCGCUGUGCAACAGCGACACCCAGUGGCCUGUCAGGGCUGCUACCACAUUUACAUAAAUGGUGGGCAAACCGUUUGAGACCCAUUGAGAUAGCUUAGACUAAAGUUAACUCUAAACUCUGGGAGAGUCCUUUACCUCACUGAGCUGUAGUUAUCUGAACCUCUCAGUCUGACAGGAGAGGACUCUCCUCGACCUUGUUCUAGAAACAGAUCCUUUAUAUCCGUUAGCGCAGCUAGCUCCAGAUGCUAACAACAACAAUUCAAUUCAUUCAUGAGGUAUGACGCUCUGCUGUCCGUACGCUUCUCCAUGUUUGGGAUUGCAAGCACACGUGAUGCAUUCAGCCUCUGCAGCCUCUCUGCAGGACACACCCCGGAAGUAUCAUCGUGCAACACCUGGCAGAGAAGCAGCUUGAUGGCGCCGGUGUGGAUACACUUGUUGGCGUUUUACCUUCACUGCUAACAGCCUGCACAUUGUGCUAUCCCGUCAGCGUUGGUGAGUGCAGAGUUUCUGGACCAAACCUGAGGACAGCCGGGUUUCUUCACAUCAUCCUCGUCCUCUUCUUCCUCCACUCGUGGUAAAAGCACAUGUGAUGCAUUCAGCCUCUGCAGCCUCUCUGCAGGACACACCGCGGAAGUAUCAUCGUGCAACACCUGGCAGCGAAGCAGCGUGAUGGCGCCGGUGUGGAUACACUUGUUGGCGUUUUACCUUCACUGCUAACAGCCUGCACAUUGUGCUAUCCCGUCAGCGUUGGUGAGUGCAGAGUUUCUGGACCAAACCUGAGGACAGCCGGGUUUCUUCACAUCAUCCUCGUCCUCUUCUUCCUCCACUCGUGGGAAGAAAGACGUAUGACAUCUGGAAGCUCUCAAGAGGCCGGACUGUAACUCCCCCCUCGACGUUUCUCAGGACACGAACAUCAAAGCAGGCGGCAGAUAACGAUUUCACUUAAACACACACACACACAGAGCGCUGCAGCAGCCUCUAACCAGGGGGCUCUGCAGGAGGUUGGGUGACAAUGCUCUGCUGAAAACAUGCAGCUAAGUUAAGAGGGUAAAGAAUUACAGGAUGAAUUAAGGUUUUACUGCAGGAUAACAGGGGAGAUAAACAAGGAGUUCCCCUUUGAGUCUCCUGUGCAUUCUGUGAGGUUUUCUAUUUUCUUUCUAGUCAAUUUGGCACAUUUGUGUUUUUACCGUCUGCAUUGUUUCUCAAACUGCACCACGUUUGCACCUGUCGGCCACCGUAGAAUACCUUAAAGCUAUUUAAAGCCCACUCUAAUUGAAUUUCUUAAGAGAAAAUGGCAAGAUCUUAAUAUCAUUCUUAAUAAAAAACAUGACAGGGAAUGGUGCAUUUCCUGUUGAGCUUCUAUUGAGAACAUCUUCACAAUAUCUGGUGGCGUGGAUGGCUUUCUGCAUGGGGAAGCUGUUGGUUUGAAUCCCAACAAUGUAAUAAAGGUUGAAUAAUAUGAA
Eleginops maclovinus (Patagonian blennie) is the source of this 1699-nucleotide long non-coding RNA. RefSeq lists it as uncharacterized. NCBI's taxonomy places the organism in Eukaryota, Metazoa, Chordata, Actinopteri, Perciformes, Eleginopidae. The transcript has 5 exons. The record is from RefSeq and is a predicted model, not a curated record.